UCGAGCGAGUCUGCCUUGAAGAUCGGAGUGCUUGCACUCUGUGAAACAAGAUACAGGCUAGCGGCGGACGGGUGAGUAACACGUGGGUAACCUGCCUAAGAGAUCGGGAUAACACCUGGAAACAGAUGCUAAUACCGGAUAACAACAGAUGAUGCCUAUCAACUGUUUAAAAGAUGGUUCUGCUAUCACUCUUGGAUGGACCUGCGGUGCAUUAGCUAGUUGGUAGGGUAACGGCCUACCAAGGCGAUGAUGCAUAGCCGAGUUGAGAGACUGAUCGGCCACAUUGGGACUGAGACACGGCCCAAACUCCUACGGGAGGCAGCAGUAGGGAAUCUUCCACAAUGGACGCAAGUCUGAUGGAGCAACGCCGCGUGAGUGAAGAAGGGUUUCGGCUCGUAAAGCUCUGUUGUUGGUGAAGAAGGACAGGGGUAGUAACUGACCUUUGUUUGACGGUAAUCAAUUAGAAAGUCACGGCUAACUACGUGCCAGCAGCCGCGGUAAUACGUAGGUGGCAAGCGUUGUCCGGAUUUAUUGGGCGUAAAGCGAGUGCAGGCGGCUCGAUAAGUCUGAUGUGAAAGCCUUCGGCUCAACCGGAGAAUUGCAUCAGAAACUGUCGAGCUUGAGUACAGAAGAGGAGAGUGGAACUCCAUGUGUAGCGGUGAAAUGCGUAGAUAUAUGGAAGAACACCGGUGGCGAAGGCGGCUCUCUGGUCUGUUACUGACGCUGAGGCUCGAAAGCAUGGGUAGCGAACAGGAUUAGAUACCCUGGUAGUCCAUGCCGUANACGAUGAGUGCUAAGUGUUGGGAGGUUUCCGCCUCUCAGUGCUGCAGCUAACGCAUUAAGCACUC
This 848-nucleotide ribosomal RNA is filed under the name uncultured bacterium. RNAcentral's name for it is "bacterial SSU rRNA". It matches the Rfam family "Bacterial small subunit ribosomal RNA", at positions 62 to 869 of the family's 1533-position model. The record is from RNAcentral.